UGGCGCAGUUGGUAGAGCAUGGUGUUUGCAACGCCAGGGUUGUGGGUUUGAUUCCCAC
Salmo salar (Atlantic salmon) is the source of this 58-nucleotide non-coding RNA. NCBI's taxonomy places the organism in Eukaryota, Metazoa, Chordata, Actinopteri, Salmoniformes, Salmonidae. The record is from Rfam.